RNAcentral lists this unclassified non-coding RNA (345 nucleotides) under soil metagenome. RNAcentral describes it as "partial contains 5.8S ribosomal RNA, internal transcribed spacer 2, and large subunit ribosomal RNA". The stretch from base 1 to 119 matches the Rfam family "5.8S ribosomal RNA", at positions 35 to 154 of the family's 154-position model. The record is from RNAcentral.
GAUGAAGAACGUAGUGAAAUGCGAUACGUAAUGUGAAUUGCAAAUUCAGUGAAUCAUCGAGUCUUUGAACGCACAUUGCGCCCCCUGGUAUUCCGGGGGGCAUGCCUGUCCGAGCGUCAUUGCUGCCCUCAAGCACGGCUUGUGUGUUGGGCCCCGUCCUCCGAUCCCGGGGGACGGGCCCGAAAGGCAGCGGCGGCACCGCGUCCGGUCCUCGAGCGUAUGUGGCUUUGUCACCCGCUCUGUAGGCCCGGCCGGCGCUUGCCGAUCAACCCAAAUUUUUAUCCAGGUUGACCUCGGAUCAGGUAGGGAUACCCGCUGAACUUAAGCAUAUCAAUAAGCGGAGGA